GCUUGAUACGGUGUUAAAGACACAAAGUUCAUCGGAACUAAAUACAAACCAACCAAGAAAAUAAGUUUCACUCCAUCAUUUCAAUAUUCGUUCUAACUGCAACAGUGCCCAUCCCUUCUCUGCAAUUAUAGGAAGAUGACGGUAACUUGGCAAAGAAGUGGUCUACUAAAGAACAUCUCUACCCAAUCCGCAAGCUUGAUCAGUCUAAACUCACAUUAAAAGAAAAGAACUAUGACAAGGUUUUAGUGGUUAUAAGCAAUGAAGAUUCAAGUGAUUGGAUGAACUAGUCUAAAAAGUGAUUUGGAUUUUGAAAGAUUGGCUCUUGAGGGCAAAGAGUAGCUGGAAUCAGAUCUUUAAGUUGCAGGACUAAAUCAAAUGGUUGGUGUUUGAUGGUUAUUCGGAGUGUGGUUUAAUUAUAUUUUGGAGGGUUUAAUUUGAGAGAUUAUAUAAGUUUACCACAAUAUUUAUGUUUAUUGUGCUUGAGUUCAUAUUAGUAGGUUUCUAAAAAAUUGCUCAAGUUUUAAAAAAUUGCUCAAAGUUAUUGUUAUGAUCUAUGUAAAGUAUUAAAACUAUUAAUUUUCAUAUACAUAUUUUGUGGUCUUUGGUGAACUUGCAUUGGGUUAGUGAUGUGGAAUUAAGUUAAUUAAGACCAUUAGGUGUCAAAGCAUAUGAGAAAGUGGAUUACUGAUAUAUGGAUGCGUUUGCAAUUUCUUACAGCAUUAUUCUUGAGAAAUCAAAAGGCAUAUAUUACACCUUUAUGCAAAGCUUUUUUGUGUAAUUGGCCUUAAUUGUUGAUACAUAGUUAAUUUCUUUUUAAUUUAAAAAAGUGUGCUAAUAUCUGGUUUUUGAAGUUAUAAAUAACAAAACAACCCAUAAGAACAUAACUCAUAAUCCAUGUUUGACAUUUAUAGAGAUUUGGAAUAUUGAAGUUCUUCUAGCCACAAGAUCCCAUCUUUUACAUUUAAACCCCCCUUUUCACAGUAGUAAGAAUUUUAUGAAAAAAAUAAUAAGUGCAUGGAUGUGUGCAAUGUGUCCUAAUUAAUAUAUAAUUAAGCCCCUCUUUUUGGGUAAGAAUUCAGUUUAUUACUCCCAAACAUAUACUUGCUAUAGCCAUGUCAUAUCUAUGCCAUGUUACACUGUGUUUGUGUUGUAUCAUACCAUAUUUAUGCUGUAUCCAUGAAAUAUAAGAGUAAUUAAAAUUCUUCUAUAGAUAGGCCAAUAAUAAACUAGAAGUUGGACAUCAUUAUGAAAAAGUUAGAAGUCAUAAAGGAUUUUUUUGGAUUAAAAAAUGAAGUAUGAAAUAAAAAAGAAAUGACUGUGAAAAUAGAUUUCAUGAGAAGAAGUAUUGAUAUGUUUGACUAAAGUUGACCUUUCAAAGAUUUUUCUCUUUUCUAUUUCUCUUUUUUCUUUUUUCACUACAGUCUGUAUACCCAACCAAAUAUUUUAAUAUCUUGCAAGAUUUAGGAUAUUUUUGCUUUAAUGACAUCAUUUUUUGGGUUCCUACUACCCUAAUUAUAUGUUUUAAUUUGAUGCUAUAUUUUAUGAAAAUCAAUAAAGUGUUGUACUUUUCAUGUUUAAUUUGUGGGUAUCUGUUGUAUACACCCUGUGUACAUUAGUGUCUUUUGCCCUAUUUUGUGGACUGCUUCAGGUGCUAUAUCUGACGAAUAGUAUAAAGCUUUUCUCAUGAUUUGUCUGUUCUGUUAAGGGUAAUUGGAACUCUCUCAUAUUUCAUCUUAAUCUCUUAAGGGGUAUAUAGGAUUCCAAUACAAUGAAUUAAUUGCUUUAUGGCAGAUGUUACAAGUGAUCUUAAAUAUGCACAAUUUCCCAUGUCAUCUUCAAUUUGCUUAUGUUAUAUAUAAUUCCCUUACACACGUAUAUUUUUCAACUAAUCAAAUAAUUUAUCAACAUCCUAGGGAAAAUAGGAUUUGGGUGUAUGCUUUUUUAGUAGACUAACAAUGAAGUAUUUCUCGCAACUCAAAGUGAUUUUGGGUGUCUAUUAUUAAUGAGGUCAGUGAUAAUCUCUACUUUUGUUAAAGCUGGAGAAGCUAUUGCUACAUCCACUGCUGUGUUAAGCGGUAGUUCAAACUUUAAACCUCUCUACAAAACUGCUCGGUUUUCACAGAUAGUCUUAGAAGCUUUAUUUCAGCCGUACAGUU
This is a long non-coding RNA of Quercus robur (English oak), 2156 nucleotides long. RefSeq lists it as uncharacterized. The transcript is spliced from 3 exons. NCBI's taxonomy places the organism in Eukaryota, Viridiplantae, Streptophyta, Magnoliopsida, Fagales, Fagaceae. The record is from RefSeq and is a predicted model, not a curated record.